Ficedula albicollis (Collared flycatcher) is the source of this 698-nucleotide long non-coding RNA. RefSeq lists it as uncharacterized. The transcript is spliced from 4 exons. The record is from RefSeq and is a predicted model, not a curated record. Lineage: Eukaryota; Metazoa; Chordata; Aves; Passeriformes; Muscicapidae.
UCGCGCCGUCCGCGCUCGUGUCGCCCAAAAAUGUCUCAUUAGCUAACUACUGUCCGCCGUGACGUCACCGGGGCGGCGCAGCCAAUGGGCGAGGCGCUGGCGUGGAUAUUAAGGGAAAGUUAGUGCAAAGGCAGCACCCCUCUUUUGCUGUCAUUGACAUUUAAACUGUGUGGCAGGUUCUCGCGUGGAAAUUGGCGACCGGAGCCGCCAGGUACCGCCGCGCCCGGACCGUGCGCUCCCGCUGACAGGAUGCGUGCGGCGGGACGCGCGGCCUCGGCCAGCGGCGUUUAGGACAUCCAGGAGGGGAGCAGCUCGGCGGGACGGCCCACGGGACUCACAGGAAUUCAAGAUCACACAAGCAGCAGCUUCAGUGGAGAAAAACUAUUUUGCUGGCAACUCUUUUUAAAGCACCAUCAUUUCAAAUCAGUGCGCUCUUAAACUAUUGACAGGAGCUUUGACAACAAGACAGGAUGCCUCAUAAAGAGGGAAGACUUUAACUAGUGACACGCAGAUGUGCGAGUCCCUAAAUUGUAUGAGAGGACAGUCCACCCCGCUUUCAGGCAAGUUUAAAAACAUGACUUCGGACUCUCUUUGUGAUUGUUGUCGCUCCACUUAAUACACCACCUCACUAACGACGAGGCAAUACGCCACCUGCAUGCAAUUAAAAUGAGAAACCACUUGGCGGGCUGCUUUUCUUA